Molecule: small nuclear RNA, 166 nt
Organism: Thalassophryne amazonica
Lineage: Eukaryota; Metazoa; Chordata; Actinopteri; Batrachoidiformes; Batrachoididae
Product: U1 spliceosomal RNA
Exons: 1
Source: RefSeq, a predicted model, not a curated record
AUAUUUACCUGGCAGGGGCGACAACAUGAUCAAGAAGGCGGUUCACCCAAAGUGAGGAUCAGCCGUUGCACUGCCGCUGACUGACCUUUGCGAAUUCCCCAAAUGUGGGAAUCUUGACUGCAUAAUUUAUACUAGUGGGGGGGGGCUGCACUCGCGCUGGCCCCUG